RNAcentral lists this ribosomal RNA (1011 nucleotides) under Pseudoniphargus portosancti. RNAcentral's name for it is "16S ribosomal RNA". The stretch from base 795 to 953 matches the Rfam family "Archaeal large subunit ribosomal RNA", at positions 2542 to 2701 of the family's 2987-position model. Lineage: Eukaryota; Metazoa; Arthropoda; Malacostraca; Amphipoda; Allocrangonyctidae. The record is from RNAcentral.
AUUGAUUUUGUUAACACUAUAAAAUAAGAAUAAAGCGGUAGUACCUUUUGUAUCAGGGUUGUUUAAUUAAAAAAAUAAUUUAUAUUUCUCGAUAUUAAAUGAGUUAAAUAAAUACGUAUUAGUGUUGUAUAACUAUAUUAAUUUAUUUAGUAGUGAAAAUUUUUCGUAGUUAAAGGUAUCUUGUUAUUGGCGUAUAUAAUAGGAGGGAUUAGCUUUUUAUUGACGUAUAUUGUCGACUGGGUGUGAUAAAUUAGGCUUAAGAUUAGUCAUAUUGGUAGUUUGUUUUAAAUUUUUUAUGUAUAAGUGGAAGGCAUUAUUUAUAAGGUUUAAUUAAUUACUAUGAUGUAAUUUAAUUUAUAAUGAAUAAAUUAGUAUUUUUUUUUUCUGUUGUAUAUAACUCGCGGUUUAUAGAAUUGUUUAUCAAAAACAUUUUUUCAUAUGUGUGAGAUAAGGCCUGCCCAGUGUAAAUAUAAACGGCUGCGGUAUUUUGACUGUGCUAAGGUAGCAUAAUAAUUUGUUUUUUAAUUGGAAGCUGGAAUGAAGGGUUUUAUCUAUAAUUAGUUUUAAUAAUGGGGUAAAUAAUUUGUGUUUGUAGUAAAAACACUACAAUUUUAUAAAGUGACGAUAAGACCCUAUAAGCUUUAUUUAAACUGUAAGUUGAGUUGGUUAUUUAACACUCUUUUUCACAUUAAGUUUUACUGGGGCAGUAGUGUUAUUUAAUUUAACAGAGGUUAUACAUAGUUAUAUGAGUGUAUGAUCUUUUUAUAUAGAUAAAUAGUAUUAGUUACUGUAGGGAUAACAGCGCAAUAAUUUUGGAGAGGCCUUAUUGAUAAAAUUGAUUGCGACCUCGAUGUUGAAUUAAAAUUUCUUUCUGUUGUAGCAGGCAGAGCAGAAGGUUUGUUCAACCUUUAAAAUUUUACAUGAUUUGAGUUCAAAUCGGCUUAAGCCAGAUUGGUUUCUAUCUUUUAUAAUAUAUAAUUUGUGUAAGUACGAAAGGGACACACAGGUUUU